Schistocerca serialis cubense is the source of this 2090-nucleotide long non-coding RNA. RefSeq lists it as uncharacterized. The record is from RefSeq and is a predicted model, not a curated record. The transcript has 3 exons. Lineage: Eukaryota; Metazoa; Arthropoda; Insecta; Orthoptera; Acrididae.
GGAGUGCAAACAACUUGAAAGAGUACAGUGUUAAAAAUUCCUGGGUAUGCACAUUGAUGAGAAGAUUAACUGGAUGGACCAUGUGAUCUCCAUACACAACUUCUUCAGUUGUGUUAUCACUGUCUACAUAAAUCGUAAAUGUAACAGGGGAGUUACUAAUUGAUGAUGAUGGCCCUGCCACAUUCAUACCCAUUGUCGACUGCUGACUUCCCAAAUAUGAUACCAGCGACUGAAAACGACUGGCGUGAAACGGUAUGUUUGUUCUCACAGAUUCGUCAGUUCCCCCACUGUGUCGGAGCAAUUGACGGGAAACAUUUAGUGCUACAGUGUCCUGUUGGUAGUGGAAGUGAAUAUUAUAAUUAUAAAGGUUCAUUCAGCAUUGUGCUGCUUGCUGUUGUCGAUGCCAGCUGUAACUUUUUGUACGCAGAUAUCGGCUGCUAACCCAGAAUAUCAGAUGGUGACGUGUUCCAAAACGCAAGCAUAAGUGAGUUAAUUAACAAAAAGAAACUAAACUUGCUCCAAGUUGAUGGCUUACCAGGUGGAACCAUAUGUUUUUGUGGCAGACGAUGCUUUUCCCUUACAGGAAAACAUGUUAAAGGUUCAAAAGAGAGAGUUUUUAACAACAGAUUUUCUAGGGCCAGAAUGGUUGUUGAGAACACUUUCGGCGUUAUGGCUUCAGUUUUUUGUGUGUUUAGGAAACCUAUGUUGCUACAACCGCAGAAGGCAAAACUGUCACACUUAACAGCUGUAUGUCCCAACAGUUUUUUAAGGUGAAAUGCUGAGGCACUAGUACACCCCACAAGAAAGCUUCGAUUCCUACAGUUUACAAAUAGGUGAGAUGAUUCCAGACACAUGGAGAUGAGAUGACACUGCAUCAAUUUUCAUUGCAGCACAGAAUAUACCAAGGAAAGCUGCUUUCACACAUAACCAAAUUCGAGACAAGUUUGCUAACUAUUUUUUAAGCCCACAAAGAAGUGUACCGUGGCAAAAUAACUAUGGGUGAAUGUGACUGUGUACUAUACAUCAUUUUCCACAGUACCUGUUGUCUCCUUCGGUUCAUGAACAUCGUCCAAGAACUGCAGCGGCCGAUAGCCGAACCUGUUGGAGUCAUAUGCAGUGUCUGCACCACUACCAGAUGGUUGACAGAAAAUUAUUUUUCUUUUCUCACGCCUGUAAGCAACCACGAGCGAUCGUAUUUUUCUCUACACUUUCCUUGUCCGUGCCAAAAGCAACUCAAUUUUUGUAAGUGCAUCAUGUUUUUUAACACUUGUUUUUAUAUUCCUUGCUCCAGACGUUCCAUAAGCAAUCCUCCCCAUGGUACAUGUCAAGUAAUCAACAAUUUGCUGCCUUGACCACUCCAUUGUUUUAGAAAAAUUAAGCGAAAACGACACUAUAGUAAACACAACACCACUUAACAGUAGAUGACACACACGCACGCUAGUGCCGUGCAGCAGUGACAAGUGGUGGCUAGCCCGAAGCAUUGUUUCCUUUUAUCUGUACCGACGCUGCUACGGAUAGAUGUUUCUGUGUUUUGAAACAUGUUUCCAAAAGGUGUCCACAUCAAGCAGCCGGAAACAUAUUUUGAAAACAUGUUUAAGGCUCAGUGUGUAUGCAGCUUUAGAGAGAGAUCUAGUGAUGGGCCAAACUGCGAUUUUCCGACAUCUGUGAUUUCUGUGAAUGCUACUCUCCAUUAUCUGUUACUCUUAACUGUGAUUUGUCGCAGUUUAGAAUCGCAGUUAAUGAAUCUACUCUACCACUGGUAUUUCUGCGACUUCUGUGAUUUCUGCGAUUUAUCACCAUAUGAAAAAGUUACAUUUGUCGACAGAAAAUUGCAUCUCAGGAAAACUGUCAUUAGUAAGUAUGUUUUACAUCUGUUCGUCCAUUGGCUUUAAUUUUGUGUUAAAGAAACAAUUGUGAAAAUAUUAAUAGUGUAAUUAAUACGUAAGUAGCCAUACAGUACCGUAAUAGUUCGUGUGUAGAAAAUGGAUUCUAACAUAUUCUUAUGUUCACAGGUUCCUGAACUACGUUUCAGUCACUCGGUAUAGCCAUAAUUCAAAAUAUCAUCGUCAACAAAUCUGGAGAAACUGUCA